AGUGAACGCUGGCGGUAGGCCUAACACAUGCAAGUCGAACGGCAGCACAGUAAGAGCUUGCUCUUACGGGUGGCGAGUGGCGGACGGGUGAGGAAUACAUCGGAAUCUACUUUUUCGUGGGGGAUAACGUAGGGAAACUUACGCUAAUACCGCAUACGACCUACGGGUGAAAGCAGGGGAUCUUCGGACCUUGCGCGAUUGAAUGAGCCGAUGUCGGAUUAGCUAGUUGGCGGGGUAAAGGCCCACCAAGGCGACGAUCCGUAGCUGGUCUGAGAGGAUGAUCAGCCACACUGGAACUGAGACACGGUCCAGACUCCUACGGGAGGCAGCAGUGGGGAAUAUUGGACAAAGGGCGCAAGCCUGAUCCAGCCAUACCGCGUGGGUGAAGAAGGCCUUCGGGUUGUAAAGCCCUUUUGUUGGGAAAGAAAAGCAGCAGGUUAAUACCCCGCUGUUCUGACGGUACCCAAAGAAUGAGCACCGGCUAACUUCGUG
Molecule: ribosomal RNA, 492 nt
Filed under: uncultured bacterium
Lineage: Bacteria
Description: partial 16S ribosomal RNA
Rfam family: Bacterial small subunit ribosomal RNA
Source: RNAcentral